RNAcentral lists this ribosomal RNA (936 nucleotides) under Bacillus pumilus. Its description in RNAcentral is "bacterial SSU rRNA". It matches the Rfam family "Bacterial small subunit ribosomal RNA", at positions 28 to 955 of the family's 1533-position model. Lineage: Bacteria; Bacillati; Bacillota; Bacilli; Caryophanales; Bacillaceae. The record is from RNAcentral.
GGCAGAUGCGGGGUGCUAUACAUGCGUCGAGCGGACAGAAGGGAGCUUGCUCCCGGAUGUUAGCGGCGGACGGGUGAGUAACACGUGGGUAACCUGCCUGUAAGACUGGGAUAACUCCGGGAAACCGGAGCUAAUACCGGAUAGUUCCUUGAACCGCAUGGUUCAAGGAUGAAAGACGGUUUCGGCUGUCACUUACAGAUGGACCCGCGGCGCAUUAGCUAGUUGGUGAGGUAACGGCUCACCAAGGCGACGAGCGUAGCCGACCUGAGAGGGUGAUCGGCCACACUGGGACUGAGACACGGCCCAGACUCCUACGGGAGGCAGCAGUAGGGAAUCUUCCGCAAUGGACGAAAGUCUGACGGAGCAACGCCGCGUGAGUGAUGAAGGUUUUCGGAUCGUAAAGCUCUGUUGUUAGGGAAGAACAAGUGCAAGAGUAACUGCUUGCACCUUGACGGUACCUAACCAGAAAGCCACGGCUAACUACGUGCCAGCAGCCGCGGUAAUACGUAGGUGGCAAGCGUUGUCCGGAAUUAUUGGGCGUAAAGGGCUCGCAGGCGGUUUCUUAAGUCUGAUGUGAAAGCCCCCGGCUCAACCGGGGAGGGUCAUUGGAAACUGGGAAACUUGAGUGCAGAAGAGGAGAGUGGAAUUCCACGUGUAGCGGUGAAAUGCGUAGAGAUGUGGAGGAACACCAGUGGCGAAGGCGACUCUCUGGUCUGUAACUGACGCUGAGGAGCGAAAGCGUGGGGAGCGAACAGGAUUAGAUACCCUGGUAGUCCACGCCGUAAACGAUGAGUGCUAAGUGUUAGGGGGUUUCCGCCCCUUAGUGCUGCAGCUAACGCAUUAAGCACUCCGCCUGGGGAGUACGGUCGCAAGACUGAAACUCAAAGGAAUUGACGGGGGCCCGCACAAGCGGUGGAGCAUGUGGUUUAAUUCGAA